Molecule: ribosomal RNA, 312 nt
Filed under: uncultured bacterium
Lineage: Bacteria
Description: bacterial SSU rRNA
Rfam family: Bacterial small subunit ribosomal RNA
Source: RNAcentral
ACUGAAUAGAUACCCGGGUAGUCCACGCCGUAAACGAUGAGUACUAGGUGUAGGAGGUCGAUCCCUCCUGUGCCGUAGCUAAACGCGUUAAGUACUCCGCCUGAGGACUACGGUCGCAAGACUAAAACUCAAAGGAAUAGACGGGGUACCCACACAAGCGGUGGAGCAUGUUGUUUAAUUCGACACUAAACGAGAAACCUUACCCAGGUUUGACAUCCCGAGAACCCGUGCAGAGAUGCGGGGGUUGCCGCAAGGAACUCGGUGACAGGUGCUGCAUGGUUGUCGUCAGCUCGUGCCUUGAGGUGUUCGGUU